UAUCCGGAUUCACUGGGUUUAAAGGGUGCGUAGGCGGGNAGGUAAGUCCGUGGUGAAAUCUCUGAGCUUAACUCAGAAACUGCCAUGGAUACUAUUUGUCUUGAAUNUUGUGGAGGUNAGCGGAAUAUGUCAUGUAGCGGUGAAAUGCUUAGAUAUGACAUAGAACACCAAUUGCGAAGGCAGCUUACUACACANNUAUUGACGCUGAGGCACGAAAGCGUGGGGAUCAAACAGGAUUAGAUACCCUGGUAGUCCACGCCCUAAACGAUGAUUACUCGACNUCNGCGAUACACUGUUGGUGUCUGAGCGAAAGCAUUAAGUAAUCCACCUGGGAAGUACGAUCGCAAGAUUGAAACUCAAAGG
This 363-nucleotide ribosomal RNA is filed under the name uncultured bacterium. RNAcentral describes it as "bacterial SSU rRNA". It matches the Rfam family "Bacterial small subunit ribosomal RNA", at positions 542 to 907 of the family's 1533-position model. The record is from RNAcentral.